CGACGCCGCGUGAGGGAUGACGGCCUUCGGGUUGUAAACCUCUUUCAGUAGGGAAGAAGCGAAAGUGACGGUACCUGCAGAAGAAGCGCCGGCUAACUACGUGCCAGCAGCCGCGGUAAUACGUAGGGCGCAAGCGUUAUCCGGAAUUAUUGGGCGUAAAGAGCUCGUAGGCGGUUUGUCGCGUCUGCCGUGAAAGUCCGGGGCUCAACUCCGGAUCUGCGGUGGGUACGGGCAGACUAGAGUGAUGUAGGGGAGACUGGAAUUCCUGGUGUAGCGGUGAAAUGCGCAGAUAUCAGGAGGAACACCGAUGGCGAAGGCAGGUCUCUGGGCAUUAACUGACGCUGAGGAGCGAAAGCAUGGGGAGCGAACAGGAUUAGAUACCCUGGUAGUCCAUGCCGUAAACGUUGGGCACUAGGUGUGGGGGACAUUCCACGUUUUCCGCGCCGUAGCUAACGCAUUAAGUGCCCCGCCUGGGGAGUACGGCCGCAAGGCUAAAACUCAAAGGAAUUGACGG
This 514-nucleotide ribosomal RNA is filed under the name Arthrobacter pascens. RNAcentral's name for it is "bacterial SSU rRNA". It matches the Rfam family "Bacterial small subunit ribosomal RNA", at positions 392 to 916 of the family's 1533-position model. Lineage: Bacteria; Bacillati; Actinomycetota; Actinomycetes; Micrococcales; Micrococcaceae. The record is from RNAcentral.